AGGUUGGUGUUUUGUUCAGAUGGUGCAGAUAAGGAGCAGUGGGAGCUCUCCCACUGGGCUGCACCGUGCAUCGCUGCGAGCAGCGCCCUGAUGCCAGAGCCCUGUACGACUGAACAAAGUCCUGCAUCGCCAGUUAAAGGAGGUGCAGACCUGCGAAAUUGCUGCCGUUGUUCAUUCACCACUUUCAGGUUCUAAGAAUCAACCUUGUCCUAUGUUAGGCAGCUGGAGGCAAGAGUAAGACAGCUGGAGGAGGAAAAUCGCGUGCUGCCCCAGGUUGUGUGGAGGAAACUUGGAGAUGCUGCAGGGUCGUGCCCUGGAAUUAGGCAACAUCUGACAGGAAACCAAUACAAAGGACCGAUGUAAAAGGCCUCGAGCACAUCCUCUGCCUGAUGAGAAAGAAUUGGAACUGCUGACGAGAGGCAAGGAACUGGCGGUGUGCUCAGCACCAUCCUGGCUGACGAUGGGUGCCCUUAUGGGCUGCACUGGGGGCUCCUCGGUGAUGCUGGGGGGUCUGUCAGAGGUGCUGGCAUUGCAGUGACCCACGGACUGCUGUCUCACUAUGCUGGCUACUGAAACGCUGCCGCGGCAUCGUCCCUUCAGCACCGCAUUUAGAAGCACUGAGAUAUUUCCAUUCCUAACGAAAAGACGAUAGGGGUUUUGCAGCACUUACAUGAAAGGAGUCAUUAUUUUGGUUAGCUACAGUGAGUCUCUAGUAAGUCUGAACAAAUUGUCCACUAGAUUUACCAGUUUUUCGCCAGACUGGAGAGACAUUGAUGAACUGUUGUGCCUUUGGUCCCCACAGUUUUGACAAAGUCAUUUCUUAGCAACUCACACUUCAGUCUAUAAGGUAUCAGCUAAUGGUGCUUAAGCAAUUUACGGCUGAUUAUUAUUAUUAUUUGCUUUGGUAGAAUACCUGCCUUUGGAGGUGCUAAAAGACCAUAAUGUCUCCUAACCAGCCAGUAGUGUAGCAUAACUACAGUACUUGUAGUGAAACACAAUUUCUUUCUAAAUGAAAGUGAAGAUAGCUUUCUGUUCAAUUUACUUUGAUGCGAAUCUUCUGAAGAUGUGUCUGACGUUCACGGCCCUGUCACAAACAGAACGCUGAGGCAUUGCUGUCACAGCUCUCAACUCAGAAUUUCCAUCAGAGUUUUUUUUUCAGAAAGUAUUUUCCAGUUGUCAGGAUGCUAAUUUCUACUGUUUAAUUUAGAAACAUGCUGGUUUAUUUAACAAGAGUCUGUAAGAAUAGAAAUGUAAAGGAUUGUACUGCAUCAUAAUAAAGCUUUUCUUGCUACCGUAGCAUUCUUUGAAAGAAGAAGGUUUUAUUACACUUGGAGCAUGUCUUUCAUUAUUACGAGGCAGAAAGCUCAUGUUCAGACUGCCUGAGGUUUGACCAGAAGAUGACCUAGAUGUGCUUAGUUUAUUUUUUACCUCUGUGUAUACUAGUUGUGUGUAUCAAACUGCAAUGAUAGGUAUUUUGUGUCUAUCUAAAAGCAACAAUAGUUUCAUGUAUGAAUGUGCAACAGGCUUGUGACCGCUGUUGCUUAACUUUUUACCGUAGCCAAGCAUUAAAGAAAUAAUAAAAGUUAAAGAAAAAAUAAUAGGAAUGCAACAAUUCCUGGGUUUCUUUCUGGUUUCUUCUUGGUUCCGAAGGUUUGGGUCUGUCAGAAUCAGUUUUCUCUGAGCUUGCAACAUGCUGUGUUUGUGAGCUAUUUGCGGUGGAAUGUAGCUCCGUUGCUGUACAAUCUUUUGUUGUGUAGGAAUAUGGUGUAAAAAUCUGCUAACUGUCUUCAGAAAAAAAAAAAAAAACAGAAACAAAAAACUGUGUUAGUUUGCAGCAGCAAUUAGACUGGUUUCUGUUGUUAUUUUUGCUUGGUACCAUUCAGUAUAAGGCCUCCGACCCAGCACUGAUUUCCCAACAGAAUUCCUGUUUGCUUCGUCUGCUUCAGUUGGACGUGCCGUUGGCCUUGCGUUUCAAAACAUUGCCCUCUUGCAUAAUUUCUCACAUAUAUAACCCAGGUCCAGCAGCUGUCUGCUGUCUUUACACGUUGUUUUCUUCCGUACAUAUCGUUUGCAUAGUAAAACUUAAAUUGUUGUAUUCCUAUGUAUCUAUAUAUAUGUAUGAAAAUGUAAACCAUGUACUUGUGCCUGCAGUAUGUAUGUGCAGGGGCAGAGCUGAGGGACACUGGUCUUUUGACACUAUACUUGUGUAAAUUUUGAUACUGUAUUAAACUAUUUUUUUACAGUUCCACAUACGACUGGGUAUCAAGUAUCUGUGUUCAUCUUAGCAAUGGUAAUAAAUUAUAGAAUCUCA
Lagopus leucura (white-tailed ptarmigan) is the source of this 2311-nucleotide long non-coding RNA. RefSeq lists it as uncharacterized. Lineage: Eukaryota; Metazoa; Chordata; Aves; Galliformes; Phasianidae. The transcript has 3 exons. The record is from RefSeq and is a predicted model, not a curated record.